GCGGUUCGUAAUUGUCGGCCCAGUCCGUGUCGUUUGACGCGUCGUCGUCAUCGGCGCCCUUGCCGCUGUCCUCGCCGCUGCUGUUUGGAUUCUCGUAAUCAGCAUCUUCGUCAUCCUGAAACGUUCAAGCUGCCUUUGAAUCCAACAUCAACUGUCGCCACGGAGACGAUCAAUCGCAUGCACAGCAGAUGAGACAAAUGGCCCGCUGGCCGUGGCGAGAAGCAAAAAAAAACAAACUUGCACACGUUUUUCUCAACAAGCAGUGUAAGAAGAAACUCACCACAAAUCGCUUCCCAUUGAUGGAGUUCUUCAACACAGUUCUGUCACAGUCGGUCAGAUUCAUCUGGAACACAUACAGACACGCACACGUGGGGCCUCUUCGGAAAGUCAAAUCUCCCAACCUUUAAAUCACACUUUCCUUAACUUUUGUCAUCGGGUCAAAGAGAUGAAAAGGUGCUCCAUUUAGAAACGAUCAAACAAUAACAAAGUUAAAACAAUGGAAGUAAAUUAAUAAAUAAAGGGCAGAGUCUACAGUUGUGUUAAAAGCAAAGGAAUAAAAAUGGGUUUUGAGGCGGUUUUUAAAGGGGAGCUAAAUCCAAGAUGUGAAAACUUUGUUAUAUUUUAAAUGUGCCUAUCUUCUUUAUCUGAUGAUGUUUACUUUAAAUCUACGAGGUAUUUAUUCUUAAAAAUACAUUUCAAACAUUGCAUUUACCCACCUCCGGGGGCCGCCAUUCUUACGUCGUUACAUGCGCGAAGUCGCGGCCGGGAAUGUGACGUGCGAGAGUGGUAGGCUUCCGACAGCUUUUCAAAGACACUUUAAUUGGCGAAAACGAAUCUGCACACGUACUUUUGAUGCUGACAGCCUGACACAGUUGCAGUCCCUACCGAUCCAAUUUCAACAAACCAGACUCAAAUGUGUCAUAAACAAAGCAACGAGCUAACUGUACUGGCUGACUCCAAAGUCAAGAUCGUUGCAGUAAUCCAACAGAUAUGUGAAGGCGACAAUGAAUUGGUCGGCGAGCUGCUGAGGGCUCCACUCCACGACCUCCGACCGGGAUGGCACUCGGCCGCCGCUCAUCCUGCGUGGUCUGCCUCACCGCAGAAGACUUCCCAGUACCGUAAGUUGUUUUGAAGGGGCCUCAGAAUCGAGCUCCUGUGGUCCCUCUUUUCAGCUGCGCCCUCUGCAACAAUCUAAACUUCACUUUCAUCCAGUGGUUGGACUUCCUAACUGAAAAGUCAGUGAAAACUGAUCUCAAGCUUUCACGUCGUCGCCUAGGCCGACCUGUCAAAGUGGAACCAAGAUGGCUUCCUUCGUGCUUCCUGUCGCCUCUACUUGGUGUGUUUGUCAAUGUUUCACUCUCUCUCUUUCUUAACCUCAGAGGAAGUGACUGUGCAGACGGGAGGACGAGGGGAGAUGAAGGCAGCAUCUCCCCCCCCCCCCCCCCCCCCC
Phyllopteryx taeniolatus (common seadragon) is the source of this 1450-nucleotide long non-coding RNA. RefSeq lists it as uncharacterized. The record is from RefSeq and is a predicted model, not a curated record. Lineage: Eukaryota; Metazoa; Chordata; Actinopteri; Syngnathiformes; Syngnathidae. The transcript is spliced from 4 exons.